This 2144-nucleotide ribosomal RNA is filed under the name Pseudomonas aeruginosa. RNAcentral's name for it is "partial 23S ribosomal RNA". It matches the Rfam family "Bacterial large subunit ribosomal RNA", at positions 1 to 2183 of the family's 2925-position model. Lineage: Bacteria; Pseudomonadati; Pseudomonadota; Gammaproteobacteria; Pseudomonadales; Pseudomonadaceae. The record is from RNAcentral.
GGUCAAGUGAAGAAGCGCAUACGGUGGAUGCCUUGGCAGUCAGAGGCGAUGAAAGACGUGGUAGCCUGCGAAAAGCUUCGGGGAGUCGGCAAACAGACUUUGAUCCGGAGAUCUCUGAAUGGGGGAACCCACCUAGGAUAACCUAGGUAUCUUGUACUGAAUCCAUAGGUGCAAGAGGCGAACCAGGGGAACUGAAACAUCUAAGUACCCUGAGGAAAAGAAAUCAACCGAGAUUCCCUUAGUAGUGGCGAGCGAACGGGGAUUAGCCCUUAAGCUUCAUUGAUUUUAGCGGAACGCUCUGGAAAGUGCGGCCAUAGUGGGUGAUAGCCCCGUACGCGAAAGGAUCUUUGAAGUGAAAUCGAGUAGGACGGAGCACGAGAAACUUUGUCUGAACAUGGGGGGACCAUCCUCCAAGGCUAAAUACUACUGACUGACCGAUAGUGAACCAGUACCGUGAGGGAAAGGCGAAAAGAACCCCGGAGAGGGGAGUGAAAUAGAACCUGAAACCGUAUGCGUACAAGCAGUGGGAGCCUACUUGUUAGGUGACUGCGUACCUUUUGUAUAAUGGGUCAGCGACUUAUAUUCAGUGGCAAGCUUAACCGUAUAGGGUAGGCGUAGCGAAAGCGAGUCUUAAUAGGGCGUUUAGUCGCUGGGUAUAGACCCGAAACCGGGCGAUCUAUCCAUGAGCAGGUUGAAGGUUAGGUAACACUGACUGGAGGACCGAACCCACUCCCGUUGAAAAGGUAGGGGAUGACUUGUGGAUCGGAGUGAAAGGCUAAUCAAGCUCGGAGAUAGCUGGUUCUCCUCGAAAGCUAUUUAGGUAGCGCCUCAUGUAUCACUCUGGGGGGUAGAGCACUGUUUCGGCUAGGGGGUCAUCCCGACUUACCAAACCGAUGCAAACUCCGAAUACCCAGAAGUGCCGAGCAUGGGAGACACACGGCGGGUGCUAACGUCCGUCGUGAAAAGGGAAACAACCCAGACCGCCAGCUAAGGUCCCAAAGUUGUGGUUAAGUGGUAAACGAUGUGGGAAGGCUUAGACAGCUAGGAGGUUGGCUUAGAAGCAGCCACCCUUUAAAGAAAGCGUAAUAGCUCACUAGUCGAGUCGGCCUGCGCGGAAGAUGUAACGGGGCUCAAACCACACACCGAAGCUGCGGGUGUCACGUAAGUGACGCGGUAGAGGAGCGUUCUGUAAGCCUGUGAAGGUGAGUUGAGAAGCUUGCUGGAGGUAUCAGAAGUGCGAAUGCUGACAUGAGUAACGACAAUGGGUGUGAAAAACACCCACGCCGAAAGACCAAGGGUUCCUGCGCAACGUUAAUCGACGCAGGGUUAGUCGGUUCCUAAGGCGAGGCUGAAAAGCGUAGUCGAUGGGAAACAGGUUAAUAUUCCUGUACUUCUGGUUACUGCGAUGGAGGGACGGAGAAGGCUAGGCCAGCUUGGCGUUGGUUGUCCAAGUUUAAGGUGGUAGGCUGAAAUCUUAGGUAAAUCCGGGGUUUCAAGGCCGAGAGCUGAUGACGAGUCGUCUUUUAGAUGACGAAGUGGUUGAUGCCAUGCUUCCAAGAAAAGCUUCUAAGCUUCAGGUAACCAGGAACCGUACCCCAAACCGACACAGGUGGUCGGGUAGAGAAUACCAAGGCGCUUGAGAGAACUCGGGUGAAGGAACUAGGCAAAAUGGCACCGUAACUUCGGGAGAAGGUGCGCCGGCUAGGGUGAAGGAUUUACUCCGUAAGCUCUGGCUGGUCGAAGAUACCAGGCCGCUGCGACUGUUUAUUAAAAACACAGCACUCUGCAAACACGAAAGUGGACGUAUAGGGUGUGACGCCUGCCCGGUGCCGGAAGGUUAAUUGAUGGGGUUAGCGCAAGCGAAGCUCUUGAUCGAAGCCCCGGUAAACGGCGGCCGUAACUAUAACGGUCCUAAGGUAGCGAAAUUCCUUGUCGGGUAAGUUCCGACCUGCACGAAUGGCGUAACGAUGGCGGCGCUGUCUCCACCCGAGACUCAGUGAAAUUGAAAUCGCUGUGAAGAUGCAGUGUAUCCGCGGCUAGACGGAAAGACCCCGUGAACCUUUACUGUAGCUUUGCACUGGACUUUGAGCCUGCUUGUGUAGGAUAGGUGGGAGGCUUUGAAGCGUGGACGCCAGUUCGCGUGG